CCUACGGGAGGCAGCAGUGGGGAAUAUUGGACAAUGGGGGCAACCCUGAUCCAGCCAUGCCGCGUGUGUGAAGAAGGCCUUAGGGUUGUAAAGCACUUUCAGCAGGGAGGAAAAGCAGCGUGUUAAUAGCGCGUUGUGUUGACGUUACCUGCAGAAGAAGCACCGGCAAACUCCGUGCCAGCAGCCGCGGUAAUACGGAGGGUGCGAGCGUUAAUCGGAAUUACUGGGCGUAAAGCGCGCGUAGGCGGCUUGAUAAGCCGGAUGUGAAACCCCUGGGCUCAACCUGGGACGUGCAUUCGGAACUGUCAAGCUAGAGUACGGUAGAGGUGAGUGGAAUUUCCUGUGUAGCGGUGAAAUGCGUAGAUAUAGGAAGGAACAUCAGUGGCGAAGGCGGCUCACUGGACUGAUACUGACGCUGAGGUGCGAAAGCGUGGGGAGCA
This 440-nucleotide ribosomal RNA is filed under the name uncultured bacterium. RNAcentral's name for it is "bacterial SSU rRNA". It matches the Rfam family "Bacterial small subunit ribosomal RNA", at positions 338 to 770 of the family's 1533-position model. The record is from RNAcentral.